Molecule: non-coding RNA, 94 nt
Organism: Mycena rebaudengoi
Lineage: Eukaryota; Fungi; Basidiomycota; Agaricomycetes; Agaricales; Mycenaceae
Source: the annotation of a GenBank genome assembly
GACCCAAUGGUGUAGUGGAAACAUACUUGUAUACAAUAGACAGGGAAACUACAAAUGUCUGCAAGAGAUCCCUGUUCAAUUCAGGGUUGGGUUG